CCUAACACAUGCAAGUCGAACNGGUAACAGGAAGCAGCUUGCUGCUUCGCUGACGAGUGGCGGACGGGUGAGUAAUGUCUGGGAAGCUGCCUGAUGGAGGGGGAUAACUACUGGAAACGGUAGCUAAUACCGCAUAAUGUCGCAAGACCAAAGAGGGGGACCUUCGGGCCUCUUGCCAUCGGAUGUGCCCAGAUGGGAUUAGCUUGUUGGUGGGGUAACGGCUCACCAAGGCGACGAUCCCUAGCUGGUCUGAGAGGAUGACCAGCCACACUGGAACUGAGACACGGUCCAGACUCCUACGGGAGGCAGCAGUGGGGAAUAUUGCACAAUGGGCGCAAGCCUGAUGCAGCCAUGCCGCGUGUAUGAAGAAGGCCUUCGGGUUGUAAAGUACUUUCAGCGGGGAGGAAGGGAGUAAAGUUAAUACCUUUGCUCAUUGACGUUACCCGCAGAAGAAGCACCGGCUAACUCCGUGCCAGCAGCCGCGGUAAUACGGAGGGUGCAAGCGUUAAUCGGAAUUACUGGGCGUAAAGCGCACGCAGGCGGUUUGUUAAGUCAGAUGUGAAAUCCCCGGGCUCAACCUGGGAACUGCAUCUGAUACUGGCAAGCUUGAGUCUCGUAGAGGGGGGUAGAAUUCCAGGUGUAGCGGUGAAAUGCGUAGAGAUC
RNAcentral lists this ribosomal RNA (663 nucleotides) under uncultured Pseudomonadota bacterium. RNAcentral's name for it is "bacterial SSU rRNA". It matches the Rfam family "Bacterial small subunit ribosomal RNA", at positions 47 to 698 of the family's 1533-position model. Lineage: Bacteria; Pseudomonadati; Pseudomonadota. The record is from RNAcentral.